This 473-nucleotide ribosomal RNA is filed under the name uncultured Streptococcus sp. RNAcentral describes it as "bacterial SSU rRNA". It matches the Rfam family "Bacterial small subunit ribosomal RNA", at positions 906 to 1382 of the family's 1533-position model. Lineage: Bacteria; Bacillati; Bacillota; Bacilli; Lactobacillales; Streptococcaceae. The record is from RNAcentral.
GGAAUUGACGGGGGCCCGCACAAGCGGUGGAGCAUGUGGUUAAUCGAAGCAACGCGAAGAACCUUACCAGGUCUUGACAUCCCGAUGCUAUUUCUAGAGAUAGAAAGUUACUUCGGUACAUCGGUGACAGGUGGUGCAUGGUUGUCGUCAGCUCGUGUCGUGAGAUGUUGGGUUAAGUCCCGCAACGAGCGCAACCCCUAUUGUUAGUUGCCAUCAUUCAGUUGGGCACUCUAGCGAGACUGCCGGUAAUAAACCGGAGGAAGGUGGGGAUGACGUCAAAUCAUCAUGCCCCUUAUGACCUGGGCUACACACGUGCUACAAUGGUUGGUACAACGAGUUGCGAGUCGGUGACGGCGAGCUAAUCUCUUAAAGCCAAUCUCAGUUCGGAUUGUAGGCUGCAACUCGCCUACAUGAAGUCGGAAUCGCUAGUAAUCGCGGAUCAGCACGCCGCGGUGAAUACGUUCCCGGGCCUU